GGAACUAGAUGUAGGGCCAUUCCACGGUUUCUGUGUCGCAGCUAACGCAUUAAGUUCCCCGCCUGGGGAGUACGGCCGCAAGGCUAAAACUCAAAGGAAUUGACGGGGGCCCGCACAAGCGGCGGAGCAUGCGGAUUAAUUCGAUGCAACGCGAAGAACCUUACCAAGGCUUGACAUAUACCGGAAACGUCCAGAGAUGGUCGCCCCGCAAGGUCGGUAUACAGGUGGUGCAUGGUUGUCGUCAGCUCGUGUCGUGAGAUGUUGGGUUAAGUCCCGCAACGAGCGCAACCCUCGUUCUAUGUUGCCAGCACGUUAUGGUGGGAACUCAUAGGAGACUGCCGGGGUCAACUCGGAGGAAGGUGGGGAUGACGUCAAAUCAUCAUGCCCCUUAUGUCUUGGGCUUCACGCAUGCUACAAUGGCCGAUACAAAGGGCUGCAAUACCGUAAGGUGGAGCGAAUCCCAAAAAGUCGGUCUCAGUUCGGAUUGAGGUCUGCAACUCGACCUCAUGAAGUCGGAGUCGCUAGUAAUCGCAGAUCAGCAACGCUGCGGUGAAUACGUUCCCGGGCCUUGUACACACCGCCCGUCAAGUCAUGAAAGUCGG
RNAcentral lists this ribosomal RNA (602 nucleotides) under Frondihabitans sp. RNAcentral describes it as "bacterial SSU rRNA". It matches the Rfam family "Bacterial small subunit ribosomal RNA", at positions 812 to 1414 of the family's 1533-position model. Lineage: Bacteria; Bacillati; Actinomycetota; Actinomycetes; Micrococcales; Microbacteriaceae. The record is from RNAcentral.